Molecule: long non-coding RNA, 2152 nt
Organism: Felis catus (domestic cat)
Lineage: Eukaryota; Metazoa; Chordata; Mammalia; Carnivora; Felidae
Exons: 4
Source: RefSeq, a predicted model, not a curated record
GUCACGGCUCAGAUGCCCCCUUUCUGCACAGUCUUCCCUUCUCGCUUCAGGGAGCGAUGCCCUUUUCCUCUUCUGAAAAGAAGGGUUCCUCUUCUUAAAAGAAGGGUGUUUCGUUUUUAUUUUUGUCCUCGAUGUGUUCCAGUGCAUAAUUGUGUGUAAGGAUCCCCUGCCUCUGAGAUCGAAGGCUCCCGAGGAGAGAGCUACGAUGUCUUGUUCACCUUGGGUAUCUUUUAGAGGCGAGUAAUAUGUAUUUAAACGGAGCACCUCGUGAGAUUGACGGAAGGCACACUGAGCCCCAGAGGAGUGGAAGACGGGUUUGGAGGCUCUUGGGGGAGCAGGAAGUGGUCGGAACAUGCGGCAUCAGCCCUGGUGGGUGACGGCAAGACAAGUGAAUAAUACAGUCACCUGGGGCAGUGGGGGGCAGCCCCAGGGGAAGAGGAGAGGUUGAUAGCAGCCUUCUCCAGUUUUACAAUGUUGCCUCGGGCUGGCCCCGAGUGCGGACACGGGGAAUUCUGCUGGGGAGAGCAAGGGAAUUUGCUGGAAGCCCGUGUUACAGCUCAUAACACUACAUCCGAGUCUUUGGUGGAAAGUAGCCCGUUACCAUAUCCCUUGGGUGGCUCAAAGUCACAGCAUCGUGGAAUGUUAGAACUGGAAGGAAAUUGACAGAGGAUGUUGCCAAGCCCCUCAGGGUCAUGGGCAGGGAAAUUCAGACCCAGAAAGGUUAAACCGCUCUCCCAAGGUUACACAGAGGUACGUAGCAGAGCCUCAGUGCCCGUCACUUCCCUGCGUUUAGCCUUCCAUUACCCAAAAUCGAAGAUGAAGACACACUGAUUGCCCAGAGCUUGGUUGUUUUGGCCACUCGGUGACAUUUACUGUCUCGUCCUACGAGCGUCGUCUUUUAAAAUCUGUGCCGGAAGAGGGUAGGUGCGUUGCGGGGAACCAUGACGUCUUUCUUUGGCAGGAGACCGAGGACGGGGAGGUGGUGAUUCCAAGGAUUCUUCCUCCUGACACUGGGUUCCCGGAAGAAAGCUGGAUGUGGACACUGUCUAGGCGGGUGACACCUGCGACUAUGAUUCGGGUUUCCGGUCCAUUCCGAGGGCCUCUGGGCUUGGCAUGAAGAACAUUCCACGAAGGUGGGACUAUCCAGGACAGCCGAGGAGGGCGGCUUUAGAACGAACGUGGAGGGGGAUGGGAUAUCUCAUCCCCAUGGAAACAGCAAUGGUGGCCUUGGAUCGUGAGCAGAGCGCAGAAUAAAUUAGAAAACAAGAACCCCGUUCCCUCUGAUAUCCGUUUAUUAGAAGGACUCGGUGACGAAGGAAGAUAUAAAUUGGAAGCAAUGCUGCAUUUGAGGAAGCUGGUAUGAUGGAAUGGGUAGUUUCGAGAGGGUAAUCCAGGCAGACUUCCUGGAAGAGCUCGUGUAGGGGCACCCGAGUCACAGGUGGAAGACGAGAUCAGGUCCGGGCACGGCUGGAGAUCACUGAUCCCACCUUGGGGUGGAAGAGUCUGGAUUCCCAUGACGAGUGUCCGAGUUGGCAGAAGAACCAACGAGGGAAAGAGAGAGAAUCUCAAGUAGGCUCCUUCACAUGGAGCCCAACAAAGGGCUCGAUCCCACGAUCCUGGGAUCAUGACCAGGGCCGAAAUCAUGAGACGGACGCUCAAGCCACUGAGCCACCCAGAUGCCCCCAAGAAAGGCCCUUAAAGGUCAUUUUAGCCUAAGUCAAGAAAUGAUAACUAUUAAGUGAUCAAGGCAUUUGGGAAUGCCAAGUGUCAGAACCCUGAAGAAGCAAAGAAGAGUCGUGUUUUCUCACAGUGGCAGCUUAGGGACCCCAAGGUCUUUUUCCAAACAAGGUUGAGCGUAAAUGAUGAGGGAUGUGUUGAAUUGGCGAACAGUUGGGUGUAGUGGAAAAAAUUUCGCCUUGGAAGGUAGAAGGCCAGAAUUCAAAGAACAUGUAGUUGGGAAAAAUCCCUUCGUGGUAGGACCCCAGUUAGCUUGAUGCCUGCCGUGUGUGUGUGUGCUGAGUUGAAACCACGGUCUGGGGACGCCCGGGUGGUUCAGUCGGUUAAGUGUCCAACUCCUGAUUUCUGGCUGAGGUCAUGAUCUCAUGGUUCGUGAGUCCAAGCCCCUUGUCAGGCUCCAAGUGGACAGGGCUGA